UGGGAAUCUGCCCUUGGGUUCGGGAUAACAGUUGGAAACGACUGCUAAUACCGGAUGAUGACUUCGGUCCAAAGAUUUAUCGCCCAGGGAUGAGCCCGCGUAGGAUUAGCUUGUUGGUGAGGUAAGAGCUCACCAAGGCGACGAUCCUUAGCUGGUCUGAGAGGAUGAUCAGCCACACUGGGACUGAGACACGGCCCAGACUCCGUACGGGAGGCAG
RNAcentral lists this ribosomal RNA (217 nucleotides) under uncultured bacterium. RNAcentral describes it as "partial 16S ribosomal RNA". It matches the Rfam family "Bacterial small subunit ribosomal RNA", at positions 118 to 351 of the family's 1533-position model. The record is from RNAcentral.